GACGAACGCUGGCGGCGUGCUUAACACAUGCAAGUCGAACGGAAAGGCCUCUUUCGGGGGGUACUCGAGUGGCGAACGGGUGAGUAACACGUGAGUAACCUGCCCUUGACUUUGGGAUAACUUCAGGAAACUGGGGCUAAUACCGGAUAGGAGCUCCUGCUGCAUGGUGGGGGUUGGAAAGUUUCGGCGGUUGGGGAUGGACUCGCGGCUUAUCAGCUUGUUGGUGGGGUAGUGGCUUACCAAGGCUUUGACGGGUAGCCGGCCUGAGAGGGUGACCGGCCAAAUUGGGACUGAGAUACGGCCCAGACUCCUAAGGGAGGCAGCAGUGGGGAAUAUUGCACAAUGGGUGGAAGCCUGAUGCAGCAACGCCGUGUGCGGGAUGACGGCCUUCGGGUUGUAAACCGCUUUCGCUCAUGACGAAGCUUUGUGUGACGGUAGUGGGUAAAGAAGCACCGGCUAACUACGUG
Molecule: ribosomal RNA, 467 nt
Filed under: uncultured bacterium
Lineage: Bacteria
Description: partial 16S ribosomal RNA
Rfam family: Bacterial small subunit ribosomal RNA
Source: RNAcentral